RNAcentral lists this unclassified non-coding RNA (147 nucleotides) under soil metagenome. RNAcentral describes it as "partial internal transcribed spacer 1". The record is from RNAcentral.
UAAUAAGUGUUUUAUGGCACUUUUUAAAUCCAUAUCCACCUUGUGUGCAAUGUCAGUCGAUCCUCUUCAUUUGAGGAUCGACCAAACAUCAACCUUUAUUUUUUAACUCUUUGUCUGAAAAAUAUUAUGAAUAAACAAUUCAAAAUA